GGAAAAAAAAGUGCGCUAGGUUGAAAAUCUUGAAAGAGGUGGCCUAGGCAAAAGUUAGGACGUAAAAAAAAAAGAAGAGCCCGCUAGGUUGAAAACUUCGAAAGAGGCGGUCAAGGCAAAAGCUAGGACAUAUAUAAAAAUAUCACCCAGCCUGAACAACAGUAUGACUUGAUCCUCUUCAACAGAGUACAUAGGCAGCUUAGAGUAUCAUUCUAAGUUCAAUCGCAUAAGUUCAAAGGAUACAUGUUGCCCCAAUUGUUGUUCGAAUGAAGUGUGAAGGAACACAAGAUCAAGCUGAAAUGUCAUCCUCUUGUUGAACUUGAUCUUCUUUGAUUUAAAGGGGGCAACCCUACUUGGUAAAUUGAUAUCUUCAAGGGGCUGAUUUUAGAAGGAUGUCAAGUAUUUGCAUUGAAGUCCAGAGAUUCCUUAUGUCUUUAGGUUUGCCAAACCUUCAAGUUUGUUGGGCUCAAAGUCCGCCCUCUGCCUAAAAGAAAGGGAUGGAAGAUAAGCGAGGCAUCAAAAGGAAACAUGGAACUAUAACUUUCCAAUCUUAAGGUGGACAUAUGAGUCCCUUCGCAUAUUAAGUUGGUCUCUCCGGUAGUCGGGUCAUUUUGAGAGUAAUCUCUCCAAGAAUCUCCAAGAAUCAGAUCAUUUUGAGAGUAAUCUCUCCAAGAAUCGAAUUUUUUUAGAGUAAUCUCUCCAGUAGUCGGGCCAUUUUGAGAGUAAUCUCUCCAAGAAUCGGACCAUUUUUAAAGUAAUCUCUCCAUGAAUCGCGUCAUUUUGAGAGUAAUCUCUCCAAUAAUUGGGCAAGGAUAAGUACUCUUACGCUCACACUCCAACCCCAAGAUUAUCUUCUUCAUGCGUGGAUCAUCUUGUUGAAUAAGAACAUAUCUUUCUCGUUUGACCUAUAUAAAAGAAAAAGAUCACAACAAAUAAAUCCCAAGAAAAGAAGAAGAAAUUACAUUCGCAUUAACGCUUUUGAGUACACAAAAAUAGACUCAAGUGACU
Molecule: long non-coding RNA, 1008 nt
Filed under: Nicotiana benthamiana
Lineage: Eukaryota; Viridiplantae; Streptophyta; Magnoliopsida; Solanales; Solanaceae
Description: long non-coding RNA (NBEN_LNC011381)
Source: RNAcentral